CCUACGGGAGGCAGCAGUCGAGAAUCAUUCACAAUGGGGGAAACCCUGAUGGUGCGACGCCGCGUGGGGGAAUGAAGGUCUUCGGAUUGUAAACUCCUGUCAUGUGGGAGCAAAUUAAAAAGAUAGUACCACAAGAGGAAGAGACGGCUAACUCUGUGCCAGCAGCCGCGGUAAUACAGAGGUCUCAAGCGUUGUUCGGAAUCACUGGGCGUAAAGGGUGCGUAGGCUGUUUCGUAAGUCGUGUGUGAAAGGCGCGGGCUCAACCCGCGGACGGCACAUGAUACUGCGAGACUAGAGUAAUGGAGGGGGAAGCGGAAUUCUCGGUGUAGCAGUGAAAUGCGUAGAUAUCGAGAGGAACACUCGUGGCGAAGGCGGGUUCCUGGACAUUAACUGACGCUGAGGCACGAAGGCCAGGGGAGCGAAAGGGAUUAGAUACCCCAGUAGUC
This 446-nucleotide ribosomal RNA is filed under the name uncultured bacterium. RNAcentral describes it as "partial 16S ribosomal RNA". It matches the Rfam family "Bacterial small subunit ribosomal RNA", at positions 338 to 795 of the family's 1533-position model. The record is from RNAcentral.